This 240-nucleotide unclassified non-coding RNA is filed under the name soil metagenome. RNAcentral's name for it is "partial contains 5.8S ribosomal RNA, internal transcribed spacer 2, and large subunit ribosomal RNA". The record is from RNAcentral.
AACGCACGAGACCUGCGGACCUGCGGAAGGAUCAUCAAAAAAAAAGAGAAGGGGGUGAAAGUUUCUUCACCCUCUCUUUUUUUAUUAAUUUUUUCUUUCUUUCCCCCUUUUUCCAUUAUACUCUCCUUCCUAGGAGUUGUAAUUAGAGAAAAAGGGGGUGAAGAAAAGAAACUUGUCGACUUCUUGUUGUCCCCUUUUUUAGAAGAGUUCCUUUUAAAAAAGGGGGUGGACCCUUUUCCC